CAAUAGCGUAUAUUAAAGUUGUUGCAGUUAAAAAGCUCGUAGUUGAAUUUCUGUGCGAAUCUCUUUUGGCAAUGUCGAGAGAGAGGCGUACAUCCGUCAGAGAACCAAGGUAGGCCUUCACUGGUCUCUUUGGGUAUCUGGCCCUUUACUUUGAAAAAAUCAGAGUGUUCAAGGCAGGCAUAAGCCAUGAAUACACAAGCAUGGAAUAAUAGAAAAGGACUAUGGUCCAUUUUGUUGGUUAUUGGACCUUAGUAAUGAUUAAUAGGGACAGUUGGGGGCAUUCGUAUUUCAUUGUCAGAGGUGAAAUUCUUGGAUUUAUGAAAGACGAACUACUGCGAAAGCAUUUGCCAAGGAUGUUUUCAUUAA
Molecule: ribosomal RNA, 366 nt
Filed under: uncultured eukaryote
Lineage: Eukaryota
Description: partial 18S ribosomal RNA
Rfam family: Eukaryotic small subunit ribosomal RNA
Source: RNAcentral